This is a long non-coding RNA of Helicoverpa armigera (cotton bollworm), 403 nucleotides long. RefSeq lists it as uncharacterized. The record is from RefSeq and is a predicted model, not a curated record. The transcript has 2 exons. Lineage: Eukaryota; Metazoa; Arthropoda; Insecta; Lepidoptera; Noctuidae.
AAUACGUUUUUAUUCAAAAACGGCAAUCUUACGUCAUCGACCAAUCAGAAGCGAGCGUUGGUAAUGGCCGCUCGCACAUUAUUGUACGGAGAUUUUAAUACGUUUUUAGUGUUAUUUUAAUUACAAUUAAGUGAUUGAAGGUGUAAAGUUAUAAUGGAGUCAAGCCCUAGCCUUGUUACUAAUAAAUUUGCAAGAAAACGCAAACGAGAUCCCGAAAAUUGGUCAAGAAACCAAGCUAAGAUAUUGAGAUAUUCCCCAAUAUCAACGCCAGAAAAAGUUUGUAACCAUAACUCUAAGGCGCUUAAGUGUGAUACACUGACAAUGUCGCAAAUGAAAAAAUUAGUAAUAAAGAUAAAUUAUCAGAUGUGAAGAAGCUGUUGUGCAAACAUUUUGGUGCUGAGUG